AUACGUAGGGAGCGAGCGUUGUCCGGAAUUACUGGGCGUAAAGGGCGCGUAGGCGGCGCUUCAAGUCGUCUGUCAAAUGGGAGGGCUUAACCCUUUUUCGCAGACGAAACUGGAGAGCUUGAGAAGCAGAGAGGCAAACAGAAUUCCUGGUGUAGCGGUGAAAUGCGUAGAUAUCAGGAAGAAUACCAGUGGCGAAGGCGGUUUGCUGGCUGCAUACUGACGCUGAAGCGCGAAAGCCAGGGGAGCGAACGGGAUUAGAUACCCCGGUAGUCCUGGCAGUAAACGAUGUAUGCUGGGUGUGAGACUAGCGAUAGUUUCGUGCCGAAGUUAACGCGAUAAGCAUACCGCCUGGGGAGUACGGCCGCAAGAUUGAAACUCAAAUGAAUUGACGGGG
This 394-nucleotide ribosomal RNA is filed under the name uncultured bacterium. Its description in RNAcentral is "partial 16S ribosomal RNA". It matches the Rfam family "Bacterial small subunit ribosomal RNA", at positions 523 to 918 of the family's 1533-position model. The record is from RNAcentral.